Molecule: ribosomal RNA, 500 nt
Filed under: uncultured bacterium
Lineage: Bacteria
Description: partial 16S ribosomal RNA
Rfam family: Bacterial small subunit ribosomal RNA
Source: RNAcentral
AUUGAACGCUGGCGGAAUGCUUUACACAUGCAAGUCGAACGGCAGCACGGACUUCGGUCUGGUGGCGAGUGGCGAACGGGUGAGUAAUGUAUCGGAACGUGCCCAGUCGCGGGGGAGAACGUAGGGAAAAUUACGCUAAUACCGCAUACGAUCUAUGGAUGAAAGCGGGGGAUCGCAAGACCUCGCGCGAUUGGAGCGGGCGAGAUCAGAUUAGGUAGUUGGUGGGGUAAAGGCCCACCAAGCCAACGAUCUGUAGCUGGUCUGAGAGGACGACCAGCCACACUGGAACUGAGACACGGUCCAGACUCCUACGGGAGGCAGCAGUGGGGAAUUUUGGACAAUGGGCGAAAGCCUGAUCCAGCCAUUCCGCGUGCAGGAUGAAGGCCCUCGGGUUGUAAACUGCUUUUGUACAGAACGAAAAGGUUUCUACUAAUACUAGGAGCUCAUGACGGUACUGUAAGAAUAAGCACCGGCUAACUACGUGCCAGCCGCCGCGGUAA